Molecule: ribosomal RNA, 664 nt
Filed under: uncultured Actinomycetes bacterium
Lineage: Bacteria; Bacillati; Actinomycetota; Actinomycetes
Description: bacterial SSU rRNA
Rfam family: Bacterial small subunit ribosomal RNA
Source: RNAcentral
AGAGUUUGAUCCUGGCUCAAGACGAACGCUGGCGGCGUGCUUAACACAUGCAAGUCGAGCGAUGAAGUUUCUUCGGAAAUGGAAUAGCGGCGAACGGGUGAGGAACACGUGAAGAAUCUGCCCUCCACUUUGGGAUAACACCGGGAAACCGGUGCUAAUACCGAAUAUUGAAACAUAAGUGGCAUCACUGAGUUUUGAAAGAAUUUCGGUGGAGGAUGACUUCGCGGCCUAUCAGCUAGUUGGUGAGGUAAUGGCUCACCAAGGCAACGACGGGUAGCCGGCCUGAGAGGGCGACCGGCCACACUGGGACUGAGACACGGCCCAGACUCCUACGGGAGGCAGCAGUGGGGAAUAUUGGGCAAUGGAGGAAACUCUGACCCAGCGACGCCGCGUGCGGGAUGAAGGCCUUCGGGUUGUAAACCGCUUUCAGUAGGGAAGAAGCGAAAGUGACGGUACCUACAAAAGAAGCACCGGCUAACUAUGUGCCAGCAGCCGCGGUAAUACAUAGGGUGCAAGCGUUGUCCGGAAUUAUUGGGCGUAAAGAGCUCGUAGGUCGUUUGUUACGUCGGAUGUGAAAACCUGAGGCUCAACCUCAGGCCUGCAUUCGAUACGGGCAAACUAGAGUUUGGUAGAGGAGACUGGAAUUUCCUGGUGUAGCGGUGGA